GAUGAACGCUGGCGGCGUGCCUAAUACAUGCAAGUCGAGCGAACAGACGAGGAGCUUGCUCCUUCGACGUUAGCGGCGGACGGGUGAGUAACACGUAGUUAACCUACCUAUAAGACUGGGAUAACUUCGGGAAACCGGAGCUAAUACCGGAUAAUAUUUCGAACCGCAUGGUUCGAUAGUGAAAGAUGGCUUUGCUAUCACUUAUAGAUGGACCUGCGCCGGAUUAGCUAGUUGGUAAGGUAACGGCUUACCAAGGCAACGAUACGUAGCCGACCUGAGAGGGUGAUCGGCCACACUGGAACUGAGACACGGUCCAGACUCCUACGGGAGGCAGCAGUAGGGAAUCUUACGCAAUGGGCGAAAGCCUGACGGAGCAACGCCGCGUGAGUGAUGAAGGUCUUCGGAUCGUAAAACUCUGUUAUUAGGGAAGAACAAACGUGUAAGUAACUGUGCACGUCUUGACGGUACCUAAUCAGAAAGCCACGGCUAACUACGUG
RNAcentral lists this ribosomal RNA (497 nucleotides) under uncultured bacterium. RNAcentral describes it as "partial 16S ribosomal RNA". It matches the Rfam family "Bacterial small subunit ribosomal RNA", at positions 28 to 507 of the family's 1533-position model. The record is from RNAcentral.